RNAcentral lists this long non-coding RNA (3179 nucleotides) under Sus scrofa (pig). RNAcentral's name for it is "lncRNA (ENSSSCG00000061195.1)". The record is from RNAcentral. Lineage: Eukaryota; Metazoa; Chordata; Mammalia; Artiodactyla; Suidae.
UUUUUAUUUUUUUCUUAUUCUUUUUUUUUUUCUUUUUUACAAGCCCUUGUGUUGAGGGCUGACUUUCAAAAGGUUGCCGUGGAGAUGGAAAGUAUUUAGUAAAUCUCUCAUAUGCAAGCACUGAAUCUUUCAAAUACAAUUUGUCAUAUUCAGAUGAACAAAUUAGCUACAGUGGAUUACUGAUUGGGGAAUGGAAUUAGCCUCAUUUUAAAAGAUUUUGACUCAAACUAGAAUUCUAUCUUUUUUGUAUCAAUAAAAAUGAGUUUCUUAAGGAUAUGAACUGGGUGAUAGUGCAUCAUUUUAUUCCAAGGACUAGCACAUGCCUUUUAUAUAGAAGUUUAAUAAACAUGGAACGAUUUAAAUCUUAGUAAUUUAAGAAUUUUCCACAAAACCAAUAUAGGUGGAUGUUAACAGAGACAUAUAAAAAACCUCUAAUUUUAUUUAUGUUUUCUUUUUAGGGAUGCACUUGCAGCAUAUGGAAGUUCCAGGCUAGGGGGUCAAAUCGGACCUGCAGCUGAGGUCUACACCACAGCCACAGCAACGCCAGAUCCAAGCUGCAUUUUUGACCUAUGCUGCACAGUGCAGCAAGGCCUCAGAUCAUUAACCAACCCACUGAGCGAGGCCAGGGACUGAACCCAAGUCUUCAAAGAUACUAGUCGUGUUCUUAACCCACUGAGCUACAAUGGGAACUCCAUAUUCUUAAUUGACUAUAUACAAUGCAAAAGCAGCUCUGGUAGAAACUUCAAAGCAUUUAAAAAGUUUUAUAUAGUAAGGGAUAAAAUUAAAACUUAACUACAAAUAAUUUCUUGAGAGGAUUUGAGCACAAACAAAAAUUGGCACUUUGUACACUUCAAUGCAAGUUCUAGCUUAACUGCUGAGUAGAGGAAAAGCUUCAUGUUGGUUGGAACAACUCCACCUUCUCCAAAAUUACUGAGAACCACACCAAAUGAGAGCAUGACUUCCGAAGCUCAAAAUAAAACUAUUUUUAUUAAUACAUAACAAUUUGUUUAAAAAUACCUAAUUAAUUCUUUCUUCAAAACAGACAUCUCACUUACCUUUUCAGUAUAUUUCCUAAAAACAUUAAAGACAGAUGUAAGGCUUAGUUGGUAUUUUCCACGAACUCAGUUCUUUUCCUCUGGAGUGGAGCUGACGUGACAAAGCAGGUUUGGGAAUGCUAGAAAUGAAUUCCUAUUUCCCUUGCAUUCUUCAGAUUCAUUUUCCCCCAAAUUUCUGCACUGGGUGGCUUCCAUUUCAGCAUCAGUCACGAAAUCUUGAAGGUUAGACACAGUAAACAGGGAAGGACAUAAAAUUAAGUGAUACGGGCUUAGCUUUGGGUCUCACAACUUUAAUAGGGAUGAAUCAUACCUUAAAGUAUGUGAAAAUGAAUCACAUAUUCUAUUCUUUAUGAAACUCAGCCCUUAGUCAAGCUAAAGGAAUUAGUGUGGUGUAGCCUAAAAUUUUGUUUGCUCCUUUAAUAAAUGUUGAGUAAAAAAGAUACAAUUCCCAGGAAGACCAAAACAUAAGUUCAUCAAUUUAGUAUGAGUCUACAACAUUGAUUUAUUUUUCACUAUAAAUGUGUAAAGGAAAAACGAUUUUAAUAAAGGGAAUGAAAAAUAAUGGCAAGUUAUUCUGAUUUUCUAAUUCUUUUUUUUUUUUUUUUUGGUUGCACCCAUUGUAUGAAGAAGUUCCUGGGCCAGGGAUAGAACCCAUGACACAGCAGAGACCCAAACCGCUGAGUGACAACAUGGGAUCUUUAACCUGCUGACAAAAGAACUCCUGAUUUUCCAAUUUACCAGUCAAAUUUGAAAUGAUUAUUUUACUUACGUAUCACUUAAGUCAGAAAAAAAGAAAGUGAGCCUUAUCUGAUUAUCAUUAGUAUAGGCUUUAAAUGAAGACAUUCCAUUCAAUUGUUUUCUUAGUUAUAGGAAACAAGCAUUGAAAUUAAUUUAGUAGGAGAGGAAAAAUACUGAAUAAUUCACAUGGAAUUAACAACCAAGAAAUGUCUUUAUGAUUUGCAAAAUCAUGAACUGAAAAUCAAAACUUCCUACACUUCAAGUAGUUAUCAAACAAAACUAUUUUUCUUUGCUUCCAAUAAAUCAUUAAAUAGGUUUGCUGUACUCACACUGACACCUUAAUUCCCUAUGACAGCCAAAAGUGACAGAAUUAGGUCACUACUUCGGGAAUGGAAAUGAGAGUAGGUGGAUUAAGGGGAACUCAGGCUGACAAAACUUGCUUUUUAGGGGAUGGGAGAGAAAGCCAUCAGUAUGCCGUAAGAGUUUGAGCAUUCUGACCAUAUAUCAGGCAGUUAUCCUUGUUGAAUGGCUGUGGAAUCCAAGUGACACCUUCUUCCUCAAUGUACUCAUUCCAUCAUUGGCUGAGCAGUCCAUACUGGAGACCAUUUAAAAAUGUGCAGUUUGUAAUAACCAUUAUCUAUCUUAGCAGCUAGAAAGGCAAAAUGAAAGUUAGCAUAUAAAACUAUCUUUAGGGACUAGGGCAGAAUAGUGAUUCAUGAAUUACAAACAUAAUGACCAGAAGCAAUUUUUCAAAAAAAGUAAAAUGAACAUAUCUGAUACUGAGGAGUUGAGUUUGUUCUUAAGAAGAAAAAAAAAAAUCUCAGAAUGUCCUUUAUUCAAAGUCCGAGUACUCUCCUUCCUCCCCACAACUUCUAUUUUUGGAAUGGCAUUCCAAAAGUGUAAGAAAUAUAAAAUACUAUGGUUGGUUGUUCAAUAAACAAGAAGGAGUCAGUGAAUUUACUUCAUCUGCCCAAUUAAAUAAUAAACAUGGGACUCAAUAUGCCUUCCAUCCCAGAAAAGAAAAAAAUCCAUAGAUGAAAAUCAGACAUAGUAACAAUUGCACCUGAUGCCAGAUUCUAACUGCAAAGGGCAAGAGGGAUUCAUGUUAUGUGCUCUUAACUUUAUAAAUAAAAAGCAUAGGAGUUCCUGCCGUGGCGCAGUGGUUAAUGAAUCUGACUAGGAAUCAUGAGGUUGCAGGUUCGAUCCCUAGCCUUGCUUAGUGGGUUGGGGAUCUGGCAUUGCCGUGAGCUGUGGUGUAGGUUGCAGACGUGGCUCGGAUCUGGUGUUGCUCUGGCUCUGGUGUAGGCCUGUGGCUACAGCUCCGACUGGACCCCUAGCCUGGGAACCUCCAUAUGCCACGGGAACGGCCCUGGAAAAGGCAAAAAG